CCUACGGGUGGCAGCAGUGGGGAAUAUUGCACAAUGGGGGAAACCCUGAUGCAGCAACGCCGCGUGAGUGAAGAAGUAUUUCGGUAUGUAAAGCUCUAUCAGCAGGGACGAGGCAAGACGGUACCUGACUAAGAAGCCCCGGCUAACUACGUGCCAGCAGCCGCGGUAAUACGUAGGGGGCAAGCGUUAUCCGGAUUUACUGGGUGUAAAGGGAGCGUAGACGGCUGUGUAAGUCUGAAGUGAAAGGCCGUGGCUCAACCGCGGAACUGCUUUGGAAACUGUACAGCUGGAGUACUGGAGAGGUAGGCGGAAUUCCUAGUGUAGCGGUGAAAUGCGUAGAUAUUAGGAGGAACACCAGUGGCGAAGGCGGCCUGCUGGACAGAAACUGACGUUGAGGCUCGAAAGCGUGGGGAGCAAACAGGAUUAGAUACCCGUGUAGUC
This 441-nucleotide ribosomal RNA is filed under the name uncultured bacterium. RNAcentral's name for it is "partial 16S ribosomal RNA". It matches the Rfam family "Bacterial small subunit ribosomal RNA", at positions 338 to 795 of the family's 1533-position model. The record is from RNAcentral.